Pelobates cultripes (western spadefoot toad) is the source of this 252-nucleotide non-coding RNA. The record is from the annotation of a GenBank genome assembly. Lineage: Eukaryota; Metazoa; Chordata; Amphibia; Anura; Pelobatidae.
CUUAAAGGGGCAGUGUCCCAAACAAGUCUGGGGACACCGUCUUAAAGGGGCAGUGUCCCAAUCUUCCCGAUGCCCCAAAAAGGUGCUUAAAGGGCCAGCACCAGUCCCAUAAAGAGUCCAUAAGCCCCAAUAUGCCCACCGACUGUCUUAAAGGGCCAUACACACCCAAUAAAAGUCCAUAAGUUUUCACAAUCUCCCAGGGGCCAUAGUCAUGCGGGAGGAGGCUGGCAAAUAGGCUUCUCCACAACCCAG